GCCGCUUUAGCUCAGUCGGCAGAGCAUCUCACUCGUAAUGAGAAGGUCGUCAGUUCGAUUCUGACAAGCGGCUCCA
Molecule: transfer RNA, 76 nt
Filed under: Microbacterium foliorum
Lineage: Bacteria; Bacillati; Actinomycetota; Actinomycetes; Micrococcales; Microbacteriaceae
Also listed under: 3 other names
Description: tRNA-Thr
Rfam family: tRNA
About the family: Transfer RNA (tRNA) molecules are approximately 80 nucleotides in length. Their secondary structure includes four short double-helical elements and three loops (D, anti-codon, and T loops).
Source: RNAcentral